UACAGAGGGUGCGAGCGUUGUCCGGAAUCACUGGGCGUAAAGGGCGCGUAGGUGGCGGCCCAAGUCCAUGGUGAAAGCCCGGGGCUCAACCCCGGGUCGGCCGUGCGAACUGGGCCACUCGAGCAGAUCAGAGGCAGGCGGAAUUCCGGGUGUAGCGGUGGAAUGCGUAGAGAUCCGGAAGAACACCGGUGGCGAAGGCGGCCUGCUGGGAUCUUGCUGACGCUGAGGCGCGACAGCGUGGGGAGCAAACAGG
This 253-nucleotide ribosomal RNA is filed under the name uncultured bacterium. RNAcentral's name for it is "partial 16S ribosomal RNA". It matches the Rfam family "Bacterial small subunit ribosomal RNA", at positions 524 to 776 of the family's 1533-position model. The record is from RNAcentral.